GACGAACGCUGGCGGCAUGCUUAACACAUGCAAGUCGAACGAUGAUGUCUAGCUUGCUAGAUUGAUUAGUGGCAAACGGGUGAGUAACGCGUGGGAACCUACCUUAUAGUACGGAAUAGCCGUUGGAAACGACGAAUAAUACCGUAUACGCUCUACGGAGGAAAGAUUUAUCGCUAUAAGAUGGGCCCGCGUUGGAUUAGCUAGUUGGUAGGGUAAUGGCCUACCAAGGCAACGAUCCAUAGCUGGUUUGAGAGGAUGAUCAGCCACACUGGGACUGAGAUACGGCCCAGACUCCUACGGGAGGCAGCAGUGGGGAAUAUUGGACAAUGGGCGAAAGCCUGAUCCAGCAAUGCCGCGUGAGUGAUGAAGGCCUUAGGGUUGUAAAGCUCUUUUAGUGGGGAAGAUAAUGACGGUACCCACAGAAAAAGCACCGGCUAACUCCGUGCCAGCCGCCGCCGUAA
This 461-nucleotide ribosomal RNA is filed under the name uncultured bacterium. RNAcentral describes it as "partial 16S ribosomal RNA". It matches the Rfam family "Bacterial small subunit ribosomal RNA", at positions 28 to 523 of the family's 1533-position model. The record is from RNAcentral.